RNAcentral lists this ribosomal RNA (253 nucleotides) under uncultured bacterium. RNAcentral describes it as "partial 16S ribosomal RNA". It matches the Rfam family "Bacterial small subunit ribosomal RNA", at positions 524 to 776 of the family's 1533-position model. The record is from RNAcentral.
UACGUAGGGUGCGAGCGUUAAUCGGAAUUACUGGGCGUAAAGCGUGCGCAGGCGGUUUUGUAAGCCAGAUGUGAAAGCCCCGGGCUUAACCUGGGAAUGGCAUUUGGGACUGCAAGGCUAGAGUGUGGCAGAGGGGGGUGGAAUUCCACGUGUAGCAGUGAAAUGCGUAGAUAUGUGGAGGAACACCGAUGGCGAAGGCAGCCCCCUGGGCUAACACUGACGCUCAUGCACGAAAGCGUGGGGAGCAAACAGG